RNAcentral lists this ribosomal RNA (484 nucleotides) under uncultured bacterium. Its description in RNAcentral is "partial 16S ribosomal RNA". It matches the Rfam family "Bacterial small subunit ribosomal RNA", at positions 28 to 523 of the family's 1533-position model. The record is from RNAcentral.
GAUGAACGCUGGCGGCGUGCUUAACACAUGCAAGUCGAACGGUGAAGCAGGAGCUUCCUCUUGUGGAUCAGUGGCGAACGGGCGAGUAACACGUGCGCACCCUGCCCCUGACUCCGGGAUAAGCGCUGGAAACGGCGUCUAAUACUGGAGAGGUGAUGUGACCGCAUGGUCUGUAUCUGGAAAGAAUUUCGGUUGGGGAUGGGCUCGCGGCCUAUCAGCUUGCUGGGGAGGUAAUGGUUAGCCAAGGCGUCGACGGGUAGCCGGCCUGCGAGGGUGACCGGCCACACUGGGACUGAGACACGGCCCAGACUCCUACGGGAGGCAGCAGUGGGGAAUAUUGCACAAUGGGCGGAAGCCUGAUGCAGCAACGCCGCGUGAGGGAUGACGGCCUUCGGGUUGUAAGCCUCUUUUAGCAGGGAAGAAGCGAAAGUGACGGUACCUGCAGAAAAAGCACCGGCUAACUACGUGCCAGCCGCCGCCGUAA